GUCCGGUUAACUUGACUAAAAUUAUUAUGGAGGGUUCAGAGCCUGGUGGCUCCAGCGUCUCCAGCUGCCGUAUCCCUGGUGACCCCGGAGUUUCUCAGCCCCGAUGUCACCCCUGUCAUCCAGGAGAUCAAGGAGUACUACUGUGAGCUGGCGGAGAGCCUUCAGUUUGAAUCAAAGGCAGCGGUUGCAACUGCACCGGAGGACCCCAGGAAGAAGGAGCACGGUCCGGCCGAGGUCUCCACAGCUAAGUUGAUGGAUGUUGCUAAGGUGACAGACCCCGAUGAACUGAGGAAACGGAUUGCAGAGCUGCGCAGGGAGCUGGCCGAGCUGGAGAAGUGCGGUGGGGAACUGGAGGACCAGAUCGAGUCAAGGAGAGCGGCGCACC
RNAcentral lists this long non-coding RNA (385 nucleotides) under Scleropages formosus (Asian bonytongue). Its description in RNAcentral is "lncRNA (ENSSFOG00015010469.2)". Lineage: Eukaryota; Metazoa; Chordata; Actinopteri; Osteoglossiformes; Osteoglossidae. The record is from RNAcentral.